This 286-nucleotide ribosomal RNA is filed under the name uncultured bacterium. RNAcentral's name for it is "partial 16S ribosomal RNA". It matches the Rfam family "Bacterial small subunit ribosomal RNA", at positions 524 to 796 of the family's 1533-position model. The record is from RNAcentral.
GACGGAGGGGGCUAGCGUUGUUCGGAAUUACUGGGCGUAAAGCGCGCGUAGGCGGCGCAUUAAGUCAGAGGUGAAAGCCCGGGGCUCAACCCCGGAAUUGCCUUUGAGACUGGUGUGCUUGAGUACGGAAGAGGUGAGUGGAAUUCCCAGUGAUAGAGGUGAAAUUCGUAGAUAUUGGGAAGAACACCAGUGGGCGAAAGGCGGCCUCACUGGGUCCGGUAACUGACGCCUGAGGUGACCGAAAGCGUGGGGGAGCAAAACAGGAUUGAGAUACCCCCGGUAGUCC